RNAcentral lists this ribosomal RNA (397 nucleotides) under uncultured bacterium. Its description in RNAcentral is "partial 16S ribosomal RNA". It matches the Rfam family "Bacterial small subunit ribosomal RNA", at positions 523 to 918 of the family's 1533-position model. The record is from RNAcentral.
AUACGUAGGUGACAAGCGUUACCCGGAUUUACUGGGCGUAAAGGGCGUGUAGGCGGUCUUGCAAGUCAGAAGUGAAAUUCCUGAGCUCAACUCGGGCGCUGCUUCUGAAACUGCAGGACUUGAGUGCUGGAGGGGAUAGCGGAAUUCCUAGUGGAGCGGUAAAAUGCGCAGAUAUUAGGAAGAACACCGGUGUCGAAGGCGGCUAUCUGGACAGUAACGGACGCUGAGGCGCGAAGGCGGGGGGAGCAAACGGGAUAAGAUACCCUGGUAGUCCACGCCGUAAACGAUGAGUACUAGGUGUAGGGGGUAUCGACUCCCUCUGUUCCGCAGUUAACACAAUAAGCAUUCCGCCUGGGGAGUACGGCCGCAAGGUUGAAACUCAAAGGAAUUGACGGGU